RNAcentral lists this ribosomal RNA (443 nucleotides) under uncultured bacterium. RNAcentral's name for it is "partial 16S ribosomal RNA". It matches the Rfam family "Bacterial small subunit ribosomal RNA", at positions 338 to 795 of the family's 1533-position model. The record is from RNAcentral.
CCUACGGGAGGCAGCAGUGGGGGAUAUUGGACAAUGGGGGGAACCCUGAUCCAGCGACGCCGCGUGAGUGAAGAAGUAUUUCGGUAUGUAAAGCUCUGUCAGCAGGGAAGAAAGCAAUGACGGUACCUGACCAAGAAGCCUCGGCUAACUACGUGACAGCAGCCGCUGUAAUACGUAGGGGGCAAGCGUUAUCCGGAAUUACUGGGUGUAAAGGGAGCGUAGACGGCUGUGCAAGUCUGGGGUGAAAGGCGGGGGCCCAACCCCCGGACUGCCCUGGAAACUGGAUGGCUGGAGUGCAGGAGAGGUAAGCGGAAUUCCUGGUGUAGCGGUGAAAUGCGUAGAUAUUAGGAAGAACACCGGGGGCGAAGGCAGCUUACUGGACUGUAACUGACGUUGAGGCUCGAAAGCGUGGGGAGCAAACAGGAUUAGAUACCCUUGUAGUC